UUUGGGAAGGCCUCACUCCCUCUUCCCUCUUGAGAGCUCUCCAACAGCAUCUGAAGCAGCUACAUAAGGCCGGAGCCCUUCACCAGCCAGCCCCAGCCGACAGCCACCAGCACCCUCAUUCAUCCGGAGAUUUCGUGUGGAUCCCGAACCAUCAGAGGUCUACGCCUACCGCGCUGAAGUGGGACAGCCCGCUCCAGGUGCUCCUGCCAUGCAAACAGCUGUGAAGAUGGCAGAGAGGGACACCUGGAUCCACCACUCACCUCUUAAACGAGCGGAGGAGGUUGAAUCCCUGGCAUGAGUGACUCUGCAGAACCGUAUGGCGUUGGACGUAUUGACUGCAUCCCAGGGAGGAACCAAACUGGCUAUAUGUUUGUCAACAGAUCAGGCGUGAUUCACUCUGUAUUAGAGAGCCUUCAGCAGGAAAACGGUGACCGACAAGGCCAGGAUCCACCUUAUCAGCACCUUUAGCAACAACCAAUCGCCCACUGCCACCCAGAGCCCUGAGACCCCAGAUUAUCAGCAACCCUGGCAACGGUGAAUUCCUUACUGCCGCCCACAGCCUUGAGAUCCCAAAUUAUCAACAAACCCGACAGUGGUGAAUUACUGCCCGUAAGCCCAUAGCCUUGAAACCCAACACCUACGUUUGUUGAAGACCUCUCGCUGAAGACAUCUUCGGCCACGGAGUGUCCGCUGGAUGACCCAAAGCCGAUAACGAAGGAAUUUGGUGUAUAAUGAGAGGCUAAUGAAGACAACAACAAAUGGGGGUGGAGCGGCACGUGAUAUGCCAAUCCGGCACACGAACAAAUGGGACCUGAGGGGAGGGGUCGGGCUAGAGGGAGGGACUUGGUGCUACAUCACCCAGGGAAGCAGGACCAGCGGGAAAUAUAAGGAUGGGCUCAUCCUCAGUUCUUUGUCUUUGGCUACCCAACGGCCACUGACCUUUUGUUGCAACAAAAUGAAUAAAAGACUGGC
This is a long non-coding RNA of Ornithorhynchus anatinus (platypus), 972 nucleotides long. RefSeq lists it as uncharacterized. The transcript is spliced from 3 exons. NCBI's taxonomy places the organism in Eukaryota, Metazoa, Chordata, Mammalia, Monotremata, Ornithorhynchidae. The record is from RefSeq and is a predicted model, not a curated record.